ACAUACCGACCGACCCUAUACGAUGUGUCCGCCCGCCGUAAUUUGCUCUCACAGCUCUCUUUCCCGCCGGGUACGCCGCACCCAAGUCACUUCACCAUUCUUUCUCGCGCCGUUCUUCGACGUCCGCAUAUCGUCCGCGAUCCACCUCCGGACACGCGUGCACACGCGCAACCGUCAAUGCGAGCACCCCCAUAAGGAGUCGUCGUCGCCACCGCUGCUGCUACCACUAUCUCUCCUCCACCACCACUAUCAACGCAGUCGCCACCGUCGGAGGGAGAAAACGUUGACUUCUCCCGAACUAAUUCGAAAAUUAUAAUCUCCAAAGAGAGGUUCCACAAUGAACCGCUCGCUCCGCAGUACAUUCACCAACUGAACUGAGCCAAUAUUAUGUGCGCGCGGUACUCGUACGGAUUUCGUAUAUCCUGCAUCCCCCACCUACUUACAUCGUCAUCUCAUCGUCUCGUCGCCUCCCAACACCCACCCUGAAUCACUCGACUUUCUCGACUCGAUCCUGCCGUGCGCAAUGCCGCAGAAUUCGUUGCCUUCAACAGCAGAGACUGGAGAUUCAAUGGACUCGUUCGACCAAUACAACAGAGACUAGAAGUUACGCCGUUUGACAACUCACGUCACAAUCUUCGCGACAAACAAUGCCAUAUCUUCGUCAUUCUUAAAUAUUUCAUAAGAAAAAAAAACGUUGUGAUAGUUAAAAGUAACAAUAAAUAAUAUCUAAAGUUUGAAAAAUGUAA
Long non-coding RNA from Monomorium pharaonis (pharaoh ant), 746 nucleotides. RefSeq lists it as uncharacterized. NCBI's taxonomy places the organism in Eukaryota, Metazoa, Arthropoda, Insecta, Hymenoptera, Formicidae. The record is from RefSeq and is a predicted model, not a curated record. The transcript is spliced from 2 exons.